UACGGAGGAUGCAAGCGUUAUCCGGAUUCAUUGGGUUUAAAGGGUGCGCAGGCGGAGAUAUAAGUCAGUGGUGAAAAACUGCCGCUCAACGGUAGUCUUGCCAUUGAUACUGUUUCUCUUGAGUAUGGAUGAGGUAGGCGGAAUGUGCAGUGUAACGGUGAAAUGCAUAGAUAUUGCACGGAACACCAAUUGCGAAGGCAGCUUACUGGGCCAUUACUGACGCUCAGGCGCGAAAGCGUGGGGAUCAAA
This 249-nucleotide ribosomal RNA is filed under the name uncultured prokaryote. Its description in RNAcentral is "partial 16S ribosomal RNA". It matches the Rfam family "Bacterial small subunit ribosomal RNA", at positions 524 to 772 of the family's 1533-position model. The record is from RNAcentral.